RNAcentral lists this ribosomal RNA (482 nucleotides) under uncultured bacterium. RNAcentral describes it as "partial 16S ribosomal RNA". It matches the Rfam family "Bacterial small subunit ribosomal RNA", at positions 28 to 523 of the family's 1533-position model. The record is from RNAcentral.
GACGAACGCUGGCGGCGUGCUUAACACAUGCAAGUCGAACGAUGAAACCUAGCUUGCUAGGUCGAUUAGUGGCGAACGGGUGAGCAACACGUGACUAACCUGCCCCUUUCUCUGGGAUAACGCUCCGAAAGGAGUGCUAAUACCGGAUACUCACAUCGAGGCACAUGCCUUGGUGUGGAAAGUUUUUCGGAAAGGGAUGGAGUCGCGGCCUAUCAGCUUGUUGGUGAGGUAACGGCUCACCAAGGCGACGACGGGUAGCCGGCCUGAGAGGGCGACCGGCCACACUGGGACUGAGACACGGCCCAGACUCCUACGGGAGGCAGCAGUGGGGAAUAUUGCACAAUGGGCGCAAGCCUGAUGCAGCGACGCCGCGUGAGGGAUGAAGGUCUUCGGAUUGUAGACCUCUUUCAGUAGGGACGAAGCGAAAGUGACGGUACCUAAAGAAGAAGCACCGGCUAACUACGUGCCAGCAGCCGCCGUAA